RNAcentral lists this ribosomal RNA (479 nucleotides) under uncultured bacterium. RNAcentral describes it as "partial 16S ribosomal RNA". It matches the Rfam family "Bacterial small subunit ribosomal RNA", at positions 28 to 507 of the family's 1533-position model. The record is from RNAcentral.
GAUGAACGCUAGCGGGAGGCCUAACACAUGCAAGCCGAGCGGUAUUUGUUCUUCGGAACAGAGAGAGCGGCGCACGGGUGCGGAACACGUGUGCAACCUGCCUUUAUCUGGGGGAUAGCCUUUCGAAAGGAAGAUUAAUACCCCAUAAUAUAUUGAGUGGCAUCAUUUGAUAUUGAAAACUCCGGUGGAUAGAGAUGGGCACGCGCAAGAUUAGAUAGUUGGUGAGGUAACGGCUCACCAAGUCAAUGAUCUUUAGGGGGCCUGAGAGGGUGAUCCCCCACACUGGUACUGAGACACGGACCAGACUCCUACGGGAGGCAGCAGUGAGGAAUAUUGGACAAUGGGUUAGCGCCUGAUCCAGCCAUCCCGCGUGAAGGACGACGGCCCUAUGGGUUGUAAACUUCUUUUGUAUAGGGAUAAGCCUACUCUCGUGAGAGUAGCUGAAGGUACUAUACGAAUAAGCACCGGCUAACUCCGUG